Molecule: ribosomal RNA, 373 nt
Filed under: uncultured bacterium
Lineage: Bacteria
Description: bacterial SSU rRNA
Rfam family: Bacterial small subunit ribosomal RNA
Source: RNAcentral
AUACGUAGGUGGCGAGCGUUAUCCGGAAUUAUUGGGCGUAAAGAGCGCGCAGGUGGUUGAUUAAGUCUGAUGUGAAAGCCCACGGCUUAACCGUGGAGGGUCAUUGGAAACUGGUCAACUUGAGUGCAGAAGAGGGAAGUGGAAUUCCAUGUGUAGCGGUGAAAUGCGUAGAGAUAUGGAGGAACACCAGUGGCGAAGGCGGCUUCCUGGUCUGUAACUGACACUGAGGCGCGAAAGCGUGGGGAGCAAACAGGAUUAGAUACCCUGGUAGUCCACGCCGUAAACGAUGAGUGCUAAGUGUUGGGGGUCGAACCUCAGUGCUGAGGUUAACGCAUUAAGCACUCCGCCUGGGGAGUACGGUCGCAAGACUGAA